Non-coding RNA from Nowakowskiella sp. JEL0078, 71 nucleotides. NCBI's taxonomy places the organism in Eukaryota, Fungi, Chytridiomycota, Chytridiomycetes, Cladochytriales, Nowakowskiellaceae. The record is from the annotation of a GenBank genome assembly.
UCCUCAAUAAUGUAAUGGAAGCAUAUUAGGCUCAUAAUCUGAUAGUGGGGGUUCGAUUCCACCUUGGGGGU